UUUAAAUAAUUUUACUGUGAAACUGCGAAUGGCUCAUUAUAUAAGUUAUCGUUUAUUUGAUAGUACCUUACUACAUGGAUAACCGUGGUAAUUCUAGAGCUAAUACAUGCUAAAAACCUCGACUUCGGAAGAGGUGUGUUUAUUAGAUUAAAAACCAAUGCCCUUCGGGGCUCACUGGCGAUUCAUAAUAACCUCUCGAAUCGCAUGGCCUUGCGCCGGCGAUGGUUCAUUCAAAUUUCUUCCCUAUCAACUUUCGAUGCUAGAGUAGUGUUCUAGCAUGGUUACAACGGGUAACGGAGGGUUAGGGCUCGACCCCGGAGAAGGAGCCUGAGAAACGGCUACUACAUCCAAGGAAGGCAGCAGGCGCGCAAAUUACCCAAUCCCGACACGGGGAGGUAGUGACGAUAAAUACUGAUACAGGGCUCUUUUGGGUCUUGUAAUUGGAAUGAGUACAAUUUAAAUCCCUUAACGAGGAACAAUUGGAGGGCAAGUCUGGUGCCAGCAGCCGCGGUAAUUCCAGCUCCAAUAGCGUAUAUUAAAGUUGUUGUGGUUAAAAAGCUCGUAGUAGAACCUUGGGCCUGGCUGGCCGGUCCGCCUCACCGCGUGCACUGGUCCGGCCGGGCCUUUCCCUCUGUGGAACCGCAUGCCCUUCACUGGGUGUGCCGGGGAAACAGGACUUUUACUUUGAAAAAAUUAGAGUGCUCCAGGCAGGCCUUUGCUCGAAUACAUUAGCAUGGAAUAAUAGAAUAGGACGUGUGGUUCUAUUUUGUUGGUUUCUAGGACCGCCGUAAUGAUUAAUAGGGACAGUCGGGGGCAUCAGUAUUCAAUUGUCAGAGGUGAAAUUCUUGGAUUUAUUGAAGACUAACUACUGCGAAAGCAUUUGCCAAGGAUGUUUUCAUUUAUCAGGAACGAAAGUUAGGGGAUCGAAGACGAUCAGAUACCGUCGUAGUCUUAACCAUAAACUAUGCCGACUAGGGAUCGGACGAUGUUAUUUUUUGACUCGUUCGGCACCUUACGAGAAAUCAAAGUGCUUGGGCUCCAGGGGGAGUAUGGUCGCAAGGCUGAAACUUAAAGAAAUUGACGGAAGGGCACCACCAGGGGUGGAGCCUGCGGCUUAAUUUGACUCAACACGGGGAAACUCACCAGGUCCAGACACAAUGAGGAUUGACAGAUUGAGAGCUCUUUCUUGAUUUUGUGGGUGGUGGUGCAUGGCCGUUCUUAGUUGGUGGAGUGAUUUGUCUGCUUAAUUGCGAUAACGAACGAGACCUUAACCUGCUAAAUAGCCCGUAUUGCUUUGGCAGUACGCCGGCUUCUUAGAGGGACUAUC
RNAcentral lists this ribosomal RNA (1327 nucleotides) under Colletotrichum fioriniae. Its description in RNAcentral is "SSU rRNA". It matches the Rfam family "Eukaryotic small subunit ribosomal RNA", at positions 64 to 1424 of the family's 1831-position model. Lineage: Eukaryota; Fungi; Ascomycota; Sordariomycetes; Glomerellales; Glomerellaceae. The record is from RNAcentral.